This 709-nucleotide ribosomal RNA is filed under the name uncultured bacterium. Its description in RNAcentral is "bacterial SSU rRNA". It matches the Rfam family "Bacterial small subunit ribosomal RNA", at positions 77 to 804 of the family's 1533-position model. The record is from RNAcentral.
CUAGUGAUGUAUGAGUUAGUGGCGGACGGGUGAGUAACGCGUGGAGAACCUGCCGUAUACUGGGGGAUAACACUUAGAAAUAGGUGCUAAUACCGCAUAAGCGCACAGCUUCGCAUGAAGCAGUGUGAAAAACUCCGGUGGUAUACGAUGGAUCCGCGUCUGAUUAGCUGGUUGGCGGGGUAACAGCCCACCAAGGCGACGAUCAGUAGCCGGCCUGAGAGGGUGAACGGCCACAUUGGGACUGAGACACGGCCCAAACUCCUACGGGAGGCAGCAGUGGGGAAUAUUGCACAAUGGGGGAAACCCUGAUGCAGCGACGCCGCGUGAGUGAAGAAGUAUUUCGGUAUGUAAAGCUCUAUCAGCAGGGAAGAAAAUGACGGUACCUGACUAAGAAGCCCCGGCUAACUACGUGCCAGCAGCCGCGGUAAUACGUAGGGGGCAAGCGUUAUCCGGAUUUACUGGGUGUAAAGGGAGCGUAGACGGCAGCGCAAGUCUGAAGUGAAAUCCCAUGGCUUAACCAUGGAACUGCUUUGGAAACUGUGCAGCUGGAGUGCAGGAGAGGUAAGCGGAAUUCCUAGUGUAGCGGUGAAAUGCGUAGAUAUUAGGAGGAACACCAGUGGCGAAGGCGGCUUACUGGACUGUAACUGACGUUGAGGCUCGAAAGCGUGGGGAGCAAACAGGAUUAGAUACCCUGGUAGUCCACGCCGUA